This 458-nucleotide ribosomal RNA is filed under the name uncultured Ottowia sp. RNAcentral's name for it is "bacterial SSU rRNA". It matches the Rfam family "Bacterial small subunit ribosomal RNA", at positions 920 to 1382 of the family's 1533-position model. The record is from RNAcentral. Lineage: Bacteria; Pseudomonadati; Pseudomonadota; Betaproteobacteria; Burkholderiales; Comamonadaceae.
CCCGCACAAGCGGUGGAGCACGUGGUUUAAUUCGAUGCAAACCGAAGAACCUUACCUACCCUUGACAUGUCCGGAACUUGCCAGAGAUGGCUUGGUGCCCGAAAGGGAAUCGGAACACAGGUGCUGCAUGGCUGUCGUCAGCUCGUGUCGUGAGAUGUUGGGUUAAGUCCCGCAACGAGCGCAACCCUUAUCAUUAGUUGCUACGCAAGGGCACUCUAAUGAGACUGCCGGUGACAAACCGGAGGAAGGUGGGGAUGACGUCAAGUCCUCAUGGCCCUUAUAGGUGGGGCUACACACGUCAUACAAUGGCUGGUACAAAGGGUUGCCAACCCGCGAGGGGGAGCCAAUCCCAUAAAGCCAGUCGUAGUCCGGAUCGCAGUCUGCAACUCGACUGCGUGAAGUCGGAAUCGCUAGUAAUCGUGGAUCAGCAUGUCACGGUGAAUACGUUCCCGGGUCUU